RNAcentral lists this ribosomal RNA (245 nucleotides) under uncultured Corynebacterium sp. RNAcentral's name for it is "partial 16S ribosomal RNA". It matches the Rfam family "Bacterial small subunit ribosomal RNA", at positions 796 to 1041 of the family's 1533-position model. Lineage: Bacteria; Bacillati; Actinomycetota; Actinomycetes; Mycobacteriales; Corynebacteriaceae. The record is from RNAcentral.
CAUGCCGUAAACGGUGGGCGCUAGGUGUAGGGGACUUCCACGUCUUCUGUGCCGCAGCUAACGCAUUAAGCGCCCCGCCUGGGGAGUACGGCCGCAAGGCUAAAACUCAAAGGAAUUGACGGGGGCCCGCACAAGCGGCGGAGCAUGUGGAUUAAUUCGAUGCAACGCGAAGAACCUUACCUGGGCUUGACAUACACCAGAUCGCUGCAGAGAUGUAGCUUCCCUUGUGGCUGGUGUACAGGUGG